This 468-nucleotide ribosomal RNA is filed under the name uncultured bacterium. RNAcentral describes it as "partial 16S ribosomal RNA". It matches the Rfam family "Bacterial small subunit ribosomal RNA", at positions 28 to 507 of the family's 1533-position model. The record is from RNAcentral.
GACGAACGCUGGCGGCGUGCUUAACACAUGCAAGUCGAACGGAAAGGCCCUGCUUUUGUGGGGUGCUCGAGUGGCGAACGGGUGAGUAACACGUGAGUAACCUGCCCUUGACUUUGGGAUAACUUCAGGAAACUGGGGCUAAUACCGGAUAGGAGCUCCUGCUGCAUGGUGGGGGUUGGACAGUUUCGGCGGUUGGGGAUGGACUCGCGGCUUAUCAGCUUGUUGGUGGGGUAGUGGCUUACCAAGGCAUUGACGGGUAGCCGGCCUGAGAGGGUGACCGGCCACAAUGGGACUGAGAGACGGACCAGACUCCUACGGGAGGCAGCAGGGGGGAAUAUUGUACAAUGGGCGGAAGCCUGAUGCAGCAACGCCGCGUGCGGGAUGACGGCCUUCGGGUUGUAAACCGCUUUCGCCUGUGACGAAGCGUGAGUGACGGUAAUGGGUAAAGAAGCACCGGCUAACUACGUG